UUGACCUCAAAUCAGGUAGGACUACCCGCUGAACUUAAGCAUAUCAAUAAGCGGAGGAAAAGAAACUAACAAGGAUUCCCCUAGUAACUGCGAGUGAA
This 98-nucleotide ribosomal RNA is filed under the name Octaviania asahimontana. RNAcentral's name for it is "partial 28S ribosomal RNA". It matches the Rfam family "Eukaryotic large subunit ribosomal RNA", at positions 1 to 97 of the family's 3401-position model. Lineage: Eukaryota; Fungi; Basidiomycota; Agaricomycetes; Boletales; Boletaceae. The record is from RNAcentral.